CCUACGGGGGGCAGCAGUAGGGAAUCUUCCGCAAUGGACGAAAGUCUGACGGAGCGACGCCGCGUGAGCGAAGAAGGUCUUCGGAUCGUAAAGCUCUGUUGUUAGGGAAGAAGAAGUACCGUUCGAAUAGGGCGGUACGGUGACGGUACCUAACGAGAAAGCCCCGGCUAACUACGUGCCAGCAGCCGCGGUAAUACGUAGGGGGCGAGCGUUGUCCGGAAUUAUUGGGCGUAAAGCGCGCGCAGGCGGUCCCUUAAGUCUGAUGUGAAAGCCCACGGCUCAACCGUGGAGGGUCAUUGGAAACUGGGGGACUUGAGUGCAGAAGAGGAGAGCGGAAUUCCACGUGUAGCGGUGAAAUGCGUAGAGAUGUGGAGGAACACCAGUGGCGAAGGCGGCUCUCUGGUCUGUAACUGACGCUGAGGCGCGAAAGC
RNAcentral lists this ribosomal RNA (431 nucleotides) under uncultured bacterium. RNAcentral describes it as "bacterial SSU rRNA". It matches the Rfam family "Bacterial small subunit ribosomal RNA", at positions 338 to 760 of the family's 1533-position model. The record is from RNAcentral.